AGCUCGGCUGAAGUGGAAGAACAGGUUAAGCAACAUAGAAUAUAUACGUACAUAUAUUUACAAAUGUUUUGCAUCCUUCGAAUAUCGCGAUAAUACGGGACACGAUACGGUAUAUUACGUUCUAUCAGUGACCGUAUAUUAUGUAUUUAUACUCUGUUAGCGCGCGGAUGUUUCUUCGUUUUAUCGAUCGAUUUGAAUAAUUAAUUUUUUCAAUUCUCCUAUUAAUGUUUAUCGAGUUAUAAUAUUGAAAUUCAAUCAAAUUAUAAUGAAACUAUAAUGAAAAGUAUGGAAAUUUAAUAUCGAUUGUUAUCAUCGAUUUUUGACCACGUGAUGUUACCCUCGGAGUAUCGAUUAUUCGUCACUAAUACAACGCCAACUACGCGUGCGCCAUGACAGUUAGGAUUCAAAGAGUAAGCGUGAUAAAUGUAGUCGUUUAUUACAAGCAUUUUAAUUGUGAAUUAAAACAGAAAACUAGUGCGAUUAUACAGAAUAUGCUAUGGUACAUCAUGUUCUAUCAAUGGCCGUACAUAAUGUGACGUUACAAUCGAAUUAUCGAUUAUCGCUCGCGACAAACGGCGUCAUGGCAGUAGCACGCAGUAGCAACCAAACAGUGAACGUGAUAAAGAAAUUCACAUAGAAGAAUUACAGAAGUGAAUCAAACUAAGAAAACGACGCUACUUAAGUGCUACAAUACUAAGUUACUGAAUUAUGGAGCACCGCUUCCGGUCACCACGAGUUCAAGCAUUUCUGGAUUGUGCACCGGUCUUUCUGGCACGAUACAACCUAAAACAAUUGGACCUCGAGUCGAGCUUUCCAGUUGCAUCAAACCACCAUAUUCCCUUGGCAAAGGUAC
Molecule: non-coding RNA, 853 nt
Organism: Osmia lignaria (orchard mason bee)
Lineage: Eukaryota; Metazoa; Arthropoda; Insecta; Hymenoptera; Megachilidae
Source: RefSeq, a predicted model, not a curated record